This 495-nucleotide ribosomal RNA is filed under the name uncultured bacterium. RNAcentral describes it as "partial 16S ribosomal RNA". It matches the Rfam family "Bacterial small subunit ribosomal RNA", at positions 28 to 507 of the family's 1533-position model. The record is from RNAcentral.
GACGAACGCUGGCGGCGUGCCUAAUACAUGCAAGUAGAACGCUGAAGGAGGAGCUUGCUUCUCUGGAUGAGUUGCGAACGGGUGAGUAACGCGUAGGUAACCUGCCUGGUAGCGGGGGAUAACUAUUGGAAACGAUAGCUAAUGCCGCAUAAUAGUAGAUGUUGCAUGACAUUUGCUUAAAAGGUGCAAUUGCAUCACUACCAGAUGGACCUGCGUUGUAUUAGCUAGUUGGUGAGGUAACGGCUCACCAAGGCAACGAUACAUAGCCGACCUGAGAGGGUGAUCGGCCACACUGGGACUGAGACACGGCCCAGACUCCUACGGGAGGCAGCAGUAGGGAAUCUUCGGCAAUGGACGGAAGUCUGACCGAGCAACGCCGCGUGAGUGAAGAAGGUUUUCGGAUCGUAAAGCUCUGUUGUAAGAGAAGAACGAGUGUGAGAGUGGAAAGUUCACACUGUGACGGUAUCUUACCAGAAAGGGACGGCUAACUACGUG